CCCCGGAUAGCUCAGUCGGUAGAGCAUCAGACUUUUUUAAUCUGAAGGUCGGGGUUCAAGUCCCUAUUCGGACG
Molecule: non-coding RNA, 74 nt
Organism: Gymnothorax javanicus (giant moray)
Lineage: Eukaryota; Metazoa; Chordata; Actinopteri; Anguilliformes; Muraenidae
Source: the annotation of a GenBank genome assembly